Non-coding RNA from Mus musculus (house mouse), 324 nucleotides. NCBI's taxonomy places the organism in Eukaryota, Metazoa, Chordata, Mammalia, Rodentia, Muridae. The record is from Rfam.
GGAUGUGAGGGUGAUUUAGUUGUGACAUUGUCACCCCAUUGAUUGCGAGAGUUGAUGUGGCUGAUCUAGCUAGGUAGGCAAGUGCUCCCUUACUCCCUUGCCACUCCUUGUGCAUCCCUCCUGAAGCUUGGUGGCCUUCCCGGAAUAGAGGAGGAACAGUCUUCAGUCAAGGGUAUAGGAGUAGCUGUGUUCCCUUGCUCGAACCUCCAGACAAGCUCCCAAGAUCUUGGCAGAGGCUAUGAUCUUUUGAAGGUUUCACAGGACAGAAGGACCCAUCUCCCAAGAUGGCUGCCUGAUACUCAGGAGGCCUUAGUACCUUGUUGG